CAUAAACAUGUUGCUCAUUAGAAGAGAAUAUGCCAAAACUGAAAAAUAUGCCUUUUUAGAAAAUGAUCUCAUUUUUGGCAGAAUAUCCAUUACUUCUGAAUGAAGACAUAACCAUUCUCAUUCUAGACAAAAUGCUAUAGGGCAUUUUAUUUAGAAAAAGAAACACUCUUUGCAUUUCCCAGAGAAUACAAAAGAAGUAAAACACAUUACAAAUGUUGUAUGGUUGCUUUAUGAAUUAGUCCUUUUAUGUUUCCAAAGCACGUACAAUAGAUAAGCCUCAUAACUGUGUAUAUUUUCCUCUAAGGGACCAUUGAAAAUCUUUGUGGUUAGUGAUAUUUUUAAUUCAGCUCUGGACUUUCUCCAGGAAAUCACUAAUAAUUACUAAUUGUAUUUUUGUAAGUUAAUGAAAGGAUGCAUUCUAUUUUCAAUGCCACCCCUCACUUGUGUAAUUCAUGAUGUUUCUUUUUUACAUGAUUGAGUAAAGCUAUAAUACAGAGACAUGAAUUAACUAAGAAAGCUUCUUUGUGCAGUUUUAUAGAAAUUAAGUGUAAAGUCUAGUCAUGCAGUUGUCAUAAAAAGAAACUAUUCCUUCAUCAUUUUUUUCUUCCAUUUUUGCUGCAUAGAUUUUUCUAUGAACAGUAGCAGAAAAGAGAACCAUUUAGUGAAACAGUUGUUCUGAAUGUAGUUAUCCAUUGAGACUGUGGACAAUCUUAUUUGUAAAAAAUAUAUUAUGAAAUUUCCUUAGAGAGCCUUUUCACAGUGUUGAAUUUAACUGAAUGUCAAUAAGAAUAAGACACCUGGAAGAAAUUUUCUGAUACUUCCAAGACUUCCAAACUGUAAAUUCAGAUAGCUCCUUAAAUUUGUGAAAUCAUGUUUAUUCAAUAAAAUCUACAGUUCUUGUGAUUAGAUUGAAUGGAAGUUUAUGAUUUAGGAAAGAAUCUGCAAGGAAUAACCGAGAAGAAAAACUAACAUCUUGCAUCACAGAGAGUUGGCUUCCCCUUCAAACUCUUCCACCAACUUGGAGGGCACCAUCAUGGAAAAAUACAGGUUUCUCACUAACCUGUAUAAUCUUGAUGUUACCUGUUUUUGUGAUCCUCCUUAAAUUUCUUGGGAACAAAAGAAGACUGUUAACUAACAUUUUAGUUCUUUGUGAAAACAUGCUUUUCCUCAUCACCUUUCAUAAAUUUUAGAUGACUUUAUAAAUGGGA
This 1208-nucleotide long non-coding RNA is filed under the name Callithrix jacchus (white-tufted-ear marmoset). Its description in RNAcentral is "lncRNA (ENSCJAG00000070579.1)". The record is from RNAcentral. Lineage: Eukaryota; Metazoa; Chordata; Mammalia; Primates; Cebidae.